UCGCUGCCGGUAAUAUCGUUACUACUGUAUAGUUUAGUAUUUCAACGCGUCGCAUUACUGCGCGUCUACUGGCCGAGACAGUGGUGUGGAAUUUGUGCAUGUCAAAAUAACUCUUCGAAUCUUAUAAACGUGACUCAAGUGCUUCCUAGAGCAAUGAUUCGAGAGCUGGAGGUUAUAAAGCUUUCAUUUGCGGGAGGAAGGUGAAAACAGCGUCAGUUCACAGAGAAACGACUGGAAGUAUCGGCAUCCAUCGACGAGAUGUCAGCACACGCAUUUCUCGGUAACGGCGGACCUCUUCAUCGUGCUCUCAUUUUUAUGCUUAAACUAGGCUGGGCAUCACGAUUUCGACUUCCUGCACUCAUUGUGGUAGCGUUUGUCGCCAUGGAUAUGAGAAUUCAAGUGCAAAUUGACAUGGACAUUGGUAAUCGUGAUGAAAAUCAUCAAAAUGAUUAAGAUAUGGAAAACAAAGAAUAGAAAAACGCAAUUAGGAUAGGAGAGUAGGAGAAAGAUGAAUUAUUUUUUAAGUCCUGUAUAAUAGCAGUAAUGAUACUCGAUUUAGAUUAAGUAUAUGUUUAUCUCGGUUAUUAUAACUAUUUUUCUGGAUAUCUACACUACUCAAAUAAAGAAAGUACAUAUCCCACACUGGGCGUUUUCAGGCGAUAAUAACUUUAAAUUUGUUGUCGAACCACGUAUAAUCGUGAUUCAAGUCAAACGUUUUCUUUCCUGCUGACGAGUAUGUGGUAAUCAAAUAUUUCAGCAAAAAAGAAACCUUCAACUUGAAACAUAGUAAAUCUGAUUCGAAAAUAUUCAAACUACCGUCACCUGAAAUCGUCCGUUCUGAUCAACACAUUAUGUUUAAUCAUUAGAUUCGUUCUCAGCAUAAGAGUUGUUUUACUGUUAAGAAAUAUGAUAUACAACUCUAAUAAAAUGUUGAAGGAAAUCGCCCAUUUUUAUAAUUUAUACAUAUAAAUUAUGAGUUUUUUGCUAUACGGGUCUCAAAAUUCUUGCACAAUCUGACAUGUUAUUUGCUUUGACCAUCUUCGUUAGAGACCCGUUACAAAGUUCCAUAAACUAAUACUCGAUAAGGAAUCACCUAAAGUUUUAUUAAUUAUUAAAUGAUCAUUAAAUCAUAACUAAA
Molecule: long non-coding RNA, 1138 nt
Organism: Cephus cinctus (wheat stem sawfly)
Lineage: Eukaryota; Metazoa; Arthropoda; Insecta; Hymenoptera; Cephidae
Exons: 2
Source: RefSeq, a predicted model, not a curated record